AACACGGACCAAGGAGUCUAGCAUGUGCGCGAGUCAUUGGGAAUAACUAAACCUAAAGGCGUAAUGAAAGUGAAGGUCCGCCUAGCGCGGACCGAGGGAAGAUGGGCGGUCACGUUUUUCGUGCCGCCCCGCACUCCCGGGGCGUCUCAUUCUCAUUGCGAGAAGAGGCGCACCAAGAGCGUACACGCUGGGACCCGAAAGAUGGUGAACUAUGCCUGGUCAGGACGAAGUCAGGGGAAACCCUGAUGGAGGUCCGUAGCGAUUCUGACGUGCAAAUCGAUCGUCGGAACUGGGUAUAGGGGCGAAAGACUAAUCGAACCAUCUAGUAGCUGGUUCCCUCCGAAGUUUCCCUCAGGAUAGCUGGCGCUCGUCGCCUACGAGUCUCAUCCGGUAAAGCGAAUGAUUAGAGGCAUUGGGGUCGAAACGGCCUCAACCUAUUCUCAAACUUUAAAUGGGUGAGAUCUCCGGCUUGCUCGAACUUAUGAAGCCGCGAGACACGGAUCAGAGUGCCAAGUGGGCCAUUUUUGGUAAGCAGAACUGGCGCUGUGGGAUGAACCAAACGCCGAGUUAAAGCGCCUAAAUCGACGCUUAUGGGAUACCAUGAAAGGCGUUGGUAACUUAAGACAGCAGGACGGUGGCCAUGGAAGUCGGAAUCCG
Molecule: ribosomal RNA, 657 nt
Filed under: Lemidia debilis
Lineage: Eukaryota; Metazoa; Arthropoda; Insecta; Coleoptera; Cleridae
Description: partial 28S large subunit ribosomal RNA
Rfam family: Eukaryotic large subunit ribosomal RNA
Source: RNAcentral